RNAcentral lists this ribosomal RNA (483 nucleotides) under uncultured bacterium. RNAcentral's name for it is "partial 16S ribosomal RNA". It matches the Rfam family "Bacterial small subunit ribosomal RNA", at positions 28 to 507 of the family's 1533-position model. The record is from RNAcentral.
GACGAACGCUGGCGGCGUGCUUAACACAUGCAAGUCGAACGCUGAAGCUCAGCUUUUGUUGGGUGGAUGAGUGGCGAACGGGUGAGUAACACGUGAGUAACCUGCCUCCUUCUUUGGGAUAACGCCCGGAAACGGGUGCUAAUACUGGAUAUUCACUGGUCUUCGCAUGGGGGUUGGUGGAAAGGGUUUUUCUGGGGGGGGAUGGGCUCGCGGCCUAUCAGCUUGUUGGUGGGGUGAUGGCCUACCAAGGCUUUGACGGGUAGGCGGCCGGGGAGGGUGACCGGUCACAUUGGGACUGAGAUACGGCCCAGGCUACUGCGGGAGGCAGUAGUGGGGAAUAUUGCACAAUGGGCGCAAGCCUGAUGCAGCGACGCCGCGUGAGGGAUGGAGGCCGUCGUGUUGUGAUCCUCUUUCGCUCAUGGUCAAGCCGCAACAAUGGUUGUGGUGAGGGUAGUGGGUAAAGAAGCGCCGGCUAACUACGUG